Molecule: transfer RNA, 73 nt
Filed under: Lepisosteus oculatus (spotted gar)
Lineage: Eukaryota; Metazoa; Chordata; Actinopteri; Semionotiformes; Lepisosteidae
Rfam family: tRNA
About the family: Transfer RNA (tRNA) molecules are approximately 80 nucleotides in length.
Source: Rfam by way of RNAcentral
GGCGCCUUGCUUAGUUGGUUAAAGCACCUGUUUUGUAAACAGGAGGUCCUAGAUCCGAAUCCUAGUGGUUCCU